CAGCAGCCACGGUAAUACAGAGGCCUCAAGCGUUGUUCGGAUUCAUUGGGCGUAAAGGGUGCGUAGGCGGUCGGGUAAGUCGGAUGUGAAAUCCUGGGGCUCAACCUCAGAACUGCAUUCGAUACUGCUCGGCUAGAGUAUUGGAGAGGAGAGUGGAAUUCACGGUGUAGCAGUGAAAUGCGUAGAUAUCGUGAGGAAGACCAGCGGCGAAGGCGGCUCUCUGGACAAUUACUGACGCUGAUGCACGAAGGCUAGGGGAGCAAACAGGAUUAGAUACCCCAGUAGUCCCUGUCUCUUAUAC
RNAcentral lists this ribosomal RNA (301 nucleotides) under uncultured bacterium. Its description in RNAcentral is "partial 16S ribosomal RNA". It matches the Rfam family "Bacterial small subunit ribosomal RNA", at positions 509 to 807 of the family's 1533-position model. The record is from RNAcentral.